GUCUCUGCCGAUCCGUAACACCUUGUUCAAGUGUGAGUAGACUGCAACCUCUCAGCCCUUAUGAUUGGGUGCAAAACCAACAGUCCUAGAAGCUGCAGUGUCUGGGGAUUUCUUGAUGUCUCUGUGGAGCCAUUGAGCCUUGUACCUUACUGGAGGCUGCAGAAUUGUCUGCAUACGGACAUCUCCCCAGCUUUGGAAGGGGGACUGAGGUCCAGGAUGAACAUGCCAGCUAAUGGGAAAUCACCACAGAGGUUCCCUGCACAGAUUCCAGGAGAACUUGGAAGACCAUUUGAGGGGUCCGUGUCAUUCGAGGAUGUGGCUGUGGAUUUCACCCGACAAGAGUGGCACAGACUGGACCCUGCUCAGAGGACCAUGCACAAGGAUGUGAUGCUGGAGACCUACAGCAACCUGGCAUCCGUGGGCCUCUGCGUGGCCAAACCAGAGAUGAUCUUCAAAUUGGAGCGAGGAGAAGAACUGUGGAUAUUAGAGGAGGAAUCUUCAGAUCAUGGUUACUCAGGAUCUCUCUCGCUACUGUGUGGCAACAGCUCUGUUGGGGCUAAUGCCCUCAGGCUGGAUAACAGCCUGCUUCAGCAUCAGAGUCUUCACAGUUUGAAUCAAAACGUUGAAUAUAAUGGAUGUGGGAAAGGCUUCCACCAGGAAACCGGCUUCCUUCAACAGAAAAGAACACACACUGGAGAUAAAAGCUUUGAAUGUCACGAAUGUGGGAAGGCAUACUGCAGGAAAUCAAACCUGGUUGAACAUCUGCGAAUACACACAGGGGAAAAACCUUAUGAAUGUGGCGACUGUGCCAAAACCUUCAGUGCCAGAUCAUACCUCAUUGCCCAUCAGAAAACUCACACGGGGGAGAAGCCUUUCGAAUGCCCUGAAUGUGGGAAAUCUUUUGGCCGGAAGUCACAACUCAUUUUACACAGGAGAACCCACACAGGAGAGAGACCCUAUGAAUGUACAGAAUGUGGGAAAACCUUUUCCGAGAAGGCAACUCUCACCAUCCACCAGAGGACCCACACGGGGGAGAAACCCUACAAGUGUAGUGAAUGUGGGAAACCAUUUCGUGUCAAGAUAGCCCUCACCCAGCACCAGAGAACUCACACGGGGGAGAAACCCUAUGAAUGUGGGGAAUGCGGGAAAAAUUUCAGGGCAAAGAAAUCCUUAAAUCAACAUCAGAGCAUUCACACAGGGGAGAAACCUUAUGAAUGUGCAGAAUGUGGGAAGUUCUUCCGAAUGAAGAUGACUCUCAAUAAUCAUCAGAGGAUCCACACGGGUGAGAAACCCUAUCAGUGCAAUGAAUGUGGGAAAGCUUUCAGUGUGCACUCCUCUCUUGGGGUCCAUCAGAGAAUUCACACGGGAGAGAAGCCUUACCAAUGCAACAAAUGUGGUUAUGCCUUCUACGUGAAAGCACGUCUCAUCGAGCAUCAGCGAAGGCAUUCAGGAGAGAAACCCUAUGAAUGCACUGAGUGUGGGAAGAUCUUUAGCAUGAGGAAGUCCCUUCGCCAGCACCGGAGAACGCACACAGGAGAGAAACCAUAUGAAUGCAGCGAGUGUGGAAAUGCCUUCUAUGUGAAAGCCCGUCUCAUUGAGCAUCAGCGAAUUCACACGGGGGAGAGACCCUUUGAAUGUCAAGAGUGUGGGAAGGCUUUCUGCCGGAAGGCACACCUCACAGAACACCGGAGAACUCACUUAGGCCGGCCCUUGCCAUGUGCAAUAGAAAAAGCCCCUCCCUAAAGACCCUCCCCACCCCUGGAUCAAGCUCCUUGGGGCAUCUGAUUACCAGAGCACUCAGAAUACCCCUAUCAUGGUGUGGCACCUAGCUUGGUGGAAAGCUAGUUCCUGACCCCCUUAGGGGGCAGCUCCUUGUUAUUUUCAUUUGUAUUUCCCCAGUUGGUGGUGAAGCUGAAUAUCUUAUCCGUUUGGCCCUUCAGGUUUUUCCUUCCAUGUAUUGACUGUUCACACUCUUUCCUCAAUGAUUAUUUGGUACUGAGAAUUGAACCCAUGGGCACUUUACCACUGAGCCACAGCCACAGUCCUUUUUUAUUUUGAGACUGUGUUUCACUAUGCUUCUAAGGCUGGCCUUGAACUUGCCUCAGCCUCCAAAGUAGCUGGUGCUCACUGUUUUCUUUUGUCUUUUUUAAAAAAAUUUUUAGUUGUUGAUGGAUCUUUAUUUUAUUUAUUUGAAUGUGGUGCUGAGAAUUGAAUCCAGUGUGUCAUGCGUGCUAGGCAAGCAUGCUACCACUGAGUCACAACCCCAGCCCCUCUUUUGUCUUUCUUUUUUUCUGUACCAGAGAAUGACCCCAGGGGUGCUUAACCACUAAGCCACAUCCCAAGUCUUUUUUAUUUUUUAUUUUGACACAGGACCUCACUAAGUUACUGAAGGUGGCUUCAAAUUGUGAUCCUCCUGCCUCAGCCUCAUGAGUUGCUGGGAUUACAUGCAGGUGCCCCUGUGCUUGGAGUCAAGACUUGGGUUUCCUGAGGAAAAAAAAUCAGGAAUACUGGCCACUAAAGCAGAUGAAAAACUUGGACAGUGGAAAACCCCCCAUCCUCUUAAGGCUUUAGAAAUUGUCUUUACCCCUGAAUAUGACCUUUUCUGAGGCCCCUGCUGGGAUAUGCUGACCCUCCUUUAACUAUCAUCAUGACCAGGGCAUUCCUCCACUCCACAGUGUAGAUUUGAUCCUCAGAAGUCUAACCACAGUCUCUUCCCAACUUAACAUUAGUCUCCACCCCACUAGUUUUUACCUCCAUGACUUACCAUCCCAUGUCUACUAACUCCCCAUUAGCUCACAGCUCUGCAGACCAGAGCACAAUGUCUGCCGACUGACAACUAGCCCACAAAACCUUGUUUGAUCACACCCUUAUCCCCAGCAGAGUCUGCCAAACUCCCAUUAGCUCACAGCACCAUGUCUUGCCAUCCCCAUGAGCUGCCAUUACAAUUCUUGCUGACCCCAUUAGCUGACAUCAAGUUUGAUCAGCCCCCUGAUAAGACUGGUGAUUCUCCUUCAGGUUGGUUUUGUAGCUUACUGUCCUUUACAUUGAGCAUGGGGACAGUGACCUCCCAUCACAGCCACGUGUCUUACCACCUUCCUUCAGACUAAUGUAGUGUCUGUUGACCUCACCAUUUUGUCCUCUGGUGCCCCAUUGGCUACCAGUAUGAUGUAAUUAACCCACUGAGUUGUCAUCAUGGUGUCUGCUCACCCAUCAUUAGAUCACAUCUGCACAGUGUGUCUUCCACAGUACACUUUCGUCAAGGUCUGUCUGCUGUUCCCCAGUUAGCCACCAGUAUGGUGAAUCUGAUCCUUCUGAGUCCUGGUGUCUUCAGAACUCAUUUGACCUUGUCCUUCUGUCUUCUGAUUUCUCACUUGCCAAGUUUCAAGGUUUCUUAACCUUGAGGACACAGUGGUAUCCAUGUUCCCUAUAAUAGGCCCCAUUACUGUGUCUUCCAACCAUAUAUUACAGCCUAUCAAUGUUUCUGCUGACAUUAAUGUCUUUAGACUUAUUUGCUAUCAGUACAUAGUAUGACCCCCUUUAGGGCCUAUCACCAUAGUUUUUGUCCACAUGGUAGUCCAGUCAUUGUGUCUGAUGGGUCUCCCCAUUAACUAUGGGGAUUGUAUCAUUCGCUUCUUAAGGCCUCAUCAGUACAGUCUACUGAUCCCAUAUUAGCCACUUUCAUAGUUCUGUUGAUCCUCCAGUAAAUAGCUAUCUAGAUUCUUUGAUACCCAUGAUGCUCCAGCAAUGUAUUUGCUGAUUGUACCCUAGCUUACCAUCACUCUGUCAGCUGAUUCCCAAUUAAUUACAAGAGCACAGACUUUAACCUCCAUGAAUUCCCAGCACAGUAUUUGCUGAGUCCACAUUAACCUCACCUUGCUGGUCAUUCAGCAGUCAUGAAGAAUGUCUUUGACCCUUACAAAGCCCAAUCACGGUGUUUGCUGACAAUGCAAUGAUCUCCAUCACUGUGCACGUUGAUUCUCCAUUAGCUGCUGUUAGAGUGUCUGGAUGCAAUGAUGCCCCAGCAGAGUGAUUCUGCCCUACUUCAGAGCCGGUCACUAUUAGACUCAAUGCUAUGACUACUAGCCACUGUCUUUGCCUCAUGUUUCUCAGUCACAAUACCUGUCUACCCUACAUUAAUGCCAUCACGGUGUCUGAUAAUCUUGGUGAUAACUACAGGGUCUUUGAGCUUCAUAAAAAAUCAGCUGAGGCAGGAGGAUUGCAAGUUCCAAGCUAGCUUUAGCAACUUAGUGAGAUCCUAAGCAACUUAGUGAGACCCUGUCUACAAAUAAAAUAUUUUUAAAAAAGGGCUGGGGAUGGACUGGGAUUGUAGUUCAGUGGUAGAGCACUUGCCUAGCAUGUUGUGAGGCACUGGGUUUGAUUCUCAGCACCGCACAUAAAUGAAUAAAUAAAUAAAUAAAGGUCCAUCAACAUCUAAAAAAACAGGGGGAGUUGGGGAUGUGGCUUCAUGGUUAAGCGCCCCCAGGUUCAAUCCCUGGUACCAAGAACAAAAUGCAAAACAAAACAAAAAAAAAACACAACAAAAAAUGAAACCAGUGUCUGCUGACCCCACUUUAGCCCUUAAUCACUUUGCUGAUUAGCUCUCAAGCACCACUAAAAAGUAGUUUAGUCUCCAUCACAGCAUCAUCCCAUUCACUGGCCCCAUCCCCAUGUAGGUUGAUGCUUCAUUGUCCCCUGGUGCAGUGUACUGACCUCAUGUGCUCCAGCAUAAUGCCAGAGGUGCAUUGGAGGCUCUCCUUCAUUAAAGCCCUUUAGGGUUUUAAAUGACACCACAUUAGCCACCAUGACAAUGUUUUGGACCCCAAUGAUUUCCCAUAGCCAUGUGUGCUGAUGCUAUGUCAGUUCCUAUCAUUCUAUUAAAUCCUCACUGGUCACCAGAACUGGCUUUGAUCUCUAUGGUGAUGCCACACACUUCUGGUGACCGUAUCUUAGGACCAAUCAGUGUUGCCUGAUCUCUUUAGGCUGGUUUAUUGGCUGUUCUUUCCAUCACUGUAAUUGUUCCUGAAGAAUUGGUAGUUCCCCAGUUCUUCAGGCUAUUGUCUUGUUUCUCUGAAUGUUCACUGAGCUUCAGGGAGGGUUCCUUGGUCUUGUUGGCUGUGGGGUCUAUCCUCUCUGCCUCUGUCUAUUUUGUAGGCCUUUGGACUGUUUUCCAAAUAGAAGGACUCUUGUGGUCUCUCCAGAUGUUUGACAGUCCUGCUGUUCCCCAGAUCUGAAGGCUUUGCCUGUACCUCUAGCUAUUUUCUUGCUUCUCUGGUGUCCCCUGAGUGCUAGAGAUAGAUCCUUGUUCUCUCUGGCUGCCUGCUUAGGUAUUUCUCACUGUUACAUAACAUUUGGGGAUGGUUUCCUCUUCCAUUUGGUUGUUGUUAUAUUCUCUUUGCCUGUCCACUAACUAUAAGGACUGAUCUCUGGCCCUGCUGGCUAUUUGAUAAUCAUUCUGACUGUUUAUAUCACUACAGGACUGGUCUUUGAACCCGGUGGCUAUUUUUCAGUUUCUUGGGAUGUGUUCUCAGUCCUGGAUUCUUCUGCCUCUUUCUAGCUGCUCCCUAAUACCUAGAAUAGGUUACCUUACUCUUGUUACCCCAAUCCAGCAAUGUUCAGAUUUCAUACUGAUGUUUUCUGGUCUCUUCAACUAUUUUUCAACCCCAAGGACUGUUGUACAAUAGUCCUCUGUUAUGUGCAGAGGAUACAACAUGCCACAAUCCCUAACAGAUGCCUGAAACUGUAGACCAUAUCAAACUCUCUAUAUACUGUUUUCUAUUAUACAUACAUAUGAUAAAGUUUAAUUCAUAAAUUAAACACAGUAAGAGAUUAACAAUAACAAUAAAAUAGGACACAUAACAAUAAACUGUAACAAGCAGUACAGUGUAAUAUUUCAUCAUUCUACUCAAAAUGGCAUGCAAUUUAAAACUUACAAAUUAUUUAUUUCUGGAAUUUUCUAUGUACUAUUUCCAUGUACUAUAGAUAACUGAAAAUGUGGAAAGUAAAACCAUGGAUAAAGGGGACUACUGUACCCACUGGAUGCAACUGAGGACGUUAAACAGCAACUGAGAAUUGCAGGCUGUAGAGGGAACACCUUUUUCCCAGUAAGAUCCUUGCCACAGGGGAGCAAUUUCUAUAGAGAGGCUGCCUGCUUCAGAGCCCUGGUGUGGACUCAUGGCAGGACAUCUGGUGCCCUGGGGUCACUGUUUCCUUCCAUUACCCUUUUAGAAAAUCCAUUAAAGUGAGCGCUCCCCAGCAUUCACUGUGUCAGUGUUGAAUCUCUGUGAUAGCUGAGAGGAUGUGCAUGGUGGGGAUCACAGGCAUAAAAGGUGUGUAGCAUAGGAUCCAUCUCAGUGGGUAACUUCUGUACCAGUCCUCCUUUAAUGGGAAUCACAUCUCUACCCAGUAUCCUUCAGAUGUCUGUGCUAAGAUUGAAGGAUGACUAUGGGAUGUCUUUGCUCCUUGGAGAUUUUUAUUUUUAUUUUUAAAAAAAUAUUUAUUUUUUAGUUUUAGGUGGUGACAAUAUCUUUAUUUUAUAUUGGUGCUGAGAAUUGAACCCAAUGCCUCAUGCAUGCUAGGUGAACACUUUACCUCUGAGCUACAACCCCAGCCCUCCAUGGGUAUUUUUAAAACCGAAAUAUGAAACUCUCAUGAUAAGAACUUAAACUACAAUAUUAUUAACAGUGAUUUAAUUUCUAGAUACUCAGUGUGGUGUAACACAUAAGAAUACUAAAGCCAGAUCAACAUUUCAAUGCUGGCCCUGAAUGGCUUCUUAGAUGUGAUAGCAAAAACACAUAAAACAAAAAGUAGGUAAAUGGGACUUUAUCACAAAAACUUUUCUGCUAUAAAUUUGCAAAUCCCAUAUCUGGUUAAAGAUUUGUAUCCAGUAUACAUAAAGAACUCUUAAACUUGGAUAUAAAAGCAUAAAUAACCCAAUUAAAAAUGGGCAAAGGUUUUAAGUUGAUAAUUUCCCAAAGACAUACAAAUGCCCAAUAAACACAUGAAUAGAUAUGGAACAUCACUAGCCAUUAGGGGUCAUGGCUCGGGAUGUAGCUCAGUGUAGAGCACUUGCCUUGCGUUCCAUUCCCAGCACCACAAAAACAAACAAACCAAAACAAAAUAAAAUGAGAUAUCACUUUAUAUCCUCUAGAAAUGGAUAGAAUAAAAAAAUGAGACAAUAACAAGUGUUGCCAAGGAUUGGAACACUUUAAAAAUUUUUUUUUUGUAGUUGCAGAUGGACAGAAUGCCUUUAUUUGUUAUCUGAUGCUGAGGCUCAAACCUGCCACUGAGUCACAACCCCAGCCCUUUAACACUUUUACAUUGUUGAUGGGAUGUAAAGCAGUGCAGCCUUUUUGGAAAACAGUGUGGCAGUUUUUUUCAGAAUGCUAAUCAUACAGUUGCCAUGUGAUCUAGGAAUUCCACUCUUUGGUAUCUAUCUGAGAGAAAGGAAAACACACACUCAACAAAAACUUGUACACAGAUAUUCACAGCAGCAUUAUUCAUAGUUGCCAAAAAGUAGAAACCACACAAAUUCCCAUUAACUGAUGAAUAGAUAAACAGAAUGUGGUGUGUGCAUACAAUAGAAUAUUAAUUAGUGCUAUAAAGGAAUGAUGGCCAGGCAUGGAGGUGCAAACCUGGAAUACCAGCAACUCAGGAGGCUGAGGCAGGAGGAAGUUCAAGGCCAGCCUUGGCAACAUAGUGAGACCCUGUCGCAAAAUAAAAUAAAGGGUUGGGGAUGUAGCUGAGUGAUACAGCACUUGUCUAGCAUGCAUGAGAUACUUAGUCCCCAGUACCACACACACAUGAACAAGGAAUGAUAUAUAAGCAUGGAUGAUCUUUGAAACAUGUUAACUGAAAGAAGCAAAAGACUGCAUAUUAUAUGAUUACAUUUAUAUGAAAUGUCCAGAAUAAGCAAAUCUAUAAAGUCAAAAUGUAGAUUAGUGGUUGUCUAGGGCUGGGGUGGGGAGCAAUAUAAAAAUGGAGAGUGAUAGUGGAGAGUGUUUAAGCACCCCUG
RNA transcript from Marmota monax (woodchuck), 8011 nucleotides. It is a transcript of the gene named zinc finger protein 157, with no coding region annotated. NCBI's taxonomy places the organism in Eukaryota, Metazoa, Chordata, Mammalia, Rodentia, Sciuridae. The record is from RefSeq and is a predicted model, not a curated record. The transcript is spliced from 6 exons.